This 310-nucleotide unclassified non-coding RNA is filed under the name plant metagenome. RNAcentral's name for it is "partial contains 5.8S ribosomal RNA, internal transcribed spacer 2, and large subunit ribosomal RNA". The stretch from base 1 to 105 matches the Rfam family "5.8S ribosomal RNA", at positions 50 to 154 of the family's 154-position model. The record is from RNAcentral.
GAAAUGCGAUAAGUAGUGUGAAUUGCAGAAUUCAGUGAAUCAUCGAAUCUUUGAACGCACAUUGCGCCCCUUGGUAUUCCAUGGGGCAUGCCUGUUCGAGCGUCAUUUGUACCCUCAAGCUCUGCUUGGUGUUGGGUGUUUGUCCCCGUCUCCGCGCGUGGACUCGCCCCAAAGUGAUUGGCAGCCGGCGUACUGGUCCCGGAGCGCAGCACAUGUCGCGCAAACGAGUGCCUUGGUACGGCGGCGUCCAUAAGCCCCUCUCUCACGCUCUUGACCUCGGAUCAGGUAGGAAUACCCGCUGAACUUAGGC